Molecule: RNA transcript, 1014 nt
Organism: Cotesia glomerata
Lineage: Eukaryota; Metazoa; Arthropoda; Insecta; Hymenoptera; Braconidae
Gene: l(3)87Df
Gene name: cytochrome c oxidase assembly protein COX20, mitochondrial
Exons: 3
Source: RefSeq, a predicted model, not a curated record
CGCCAUUUUUUAAUUUUAGGUUAUGUCCAACAAUAACAAUUACUCUAACCUGUGCAAUCACUAGUCUGUAAGUAAACUAUACCUGAAAAUAACUAAUAAAAAAAUGGAAGAAGCAACAGAUGCCGCGUCAGUGACAACUAACAAGAAGAGCCUUAUAAUAUUCGGCAGAGAUGUUACGAAGAUCCCAUGCUUUCGGAAUAGCUGGUUGUACGGAAUCUGCAGCGGGUUCGGGUGUGGAAUUCUGACGUUUAUGUUCACCAGCAGAACACCACUGGCUUCUCACGUCUUCAUAGGCUCGACUUUUGGAGUUACCCUGGUAUAUUUCUCGGUCUGUCGGUAUCGAUUUGCUAAGGAUGACAUGAUGGCUAAGCAGCUCAGAGUUUAUAUGAAAGACUCCAUGGGUCUCGAGGGUGCAGACCGGGAAGCUAAACUUAAACAAAUAGAAGAACUCGCCAAGACUCAGACUAAGUAGAAGUAAUUUAUAAUUUAAUUACGGGUUUGUAAAAAAAUAUAUGUACAUAGGACUGUUUUGUAAAAUAUAUGCUCAGUUUGACAGAUCCCACUCACAAUCACAAUAAAAUAAAAUGCCUGUACAGGCACGAGCGUGGUUACGUGGACAACGUAAACGGACAAGUCUAAAUUUAGAAGAGCUCCUUUUAUUGCGGCCAACCUUGAACAGGGACUUCAAGUUUAACGUUUCCACACUCGACAUACCAACUGGUCUCCGGAGUCUGAAUCAGAAAAGCCAUAAACAUCUGUACUAAUAUAACCGAAAAUAACUCAUCCAUCGUAUCCAGAACUGUCUGGUGAUAUGAAGCGUCAUCUCAUCAAAUGAAGAGAAAAAGAGAUGCUCCAUUCACUCAGCACAUCCCAAAAAGAUUGCCUACAUUAUCUUAUAAUUUCUCAAUAUCAAGACAUCACAUAUCACAUAAUAACACGAAAUCUCUCAAUCUUGCAUUACUCUAAUCGCCUUGAGCAAACAAAUAUCAAAUAAAUUGAAUUUAUGGAAAAAUC